GGGCAGGUAGCUCAGUUGGUAGAGCAACGGACUGAAAAUCCGUGUGUCGGCGGUUCAAAUCCGCCUCUGCCCA
RNAcentral lists this transfer RNA (73 nucleotides) under Phycisphaerae bacterium. RNAcentral's name for it is "tRNA-Phe". It matches the Rfam family "tRNA". Rfam says of the family: Transfer RNA (tRNA) molecules are approximately 80 nucleotides in length. RNAcentral also lists the same sequence under 3 other names. Lineage: Bacteria; Pseudomonadati; Planctomycetota; Phycisphaerae. The record is from RNAcentral.